RNAcentral lists this transfer RNA (73 nucleotides) under Mesoplodon bidens (Sowerby's beaked whale). RNAcentral's name for it is "tRNA-Gln". It matches the Rfam family "tRNA". From Rfam's summary of the family: Transfer RNA (tRNA) molecules are approximately 80 nucleotides in length. The record is from RNAcentral. Lineage: Eukaryota; Metazoa; Chordata; Mammalia; Artiodactyla; Ziphiidae.
UAGAUUGUAGUGUAAUAUGGUAGCACGGAGAAUUUUGGAUUCUUAAGAAUAGGUUCGAUCCCUGUUAUUCUAG